GCCGAGGUGGUGGAACUGGCAGACACGCAGGUCUUAGGAACCUGUGGGGCAACCCGUGCGGGUUCAAAUCCCGCCCUCGGCACCA
Molecule: transfer RNA, 85 nt
Filed under: Bacillota bacterium
Lineage: Bacteria; Bacillati; Bacillota
Description: tRNA-Leu
Rfam family: tRNA
About the family: Transfer RNA (tRNA) molecules are approximately 80 nucleotides in length. Their secondary structure includes four short double-helical elements and three loops (D, anti-codon, and T loops).
Source: RNAcentral